Salvelinus sp. IW2-2015 is the source of this 621-nucleotide long non-coding RNA. RefSeq lists it as uncharacterized. The record is from RefSeq and is a predicted model, not a curated record. Lineage: Eukaryota; Metazoa; Chordata; Actinopteri; Salmoniformes; Salmonidae.
UGGAUCAUGUGCGUGGUUGUUGUCUCAACCAAACCCCUCUAUCAGACUGUAACAGACUGCACUUUGUUCCAACGAAGUUAACCAAGAGAAUUGGUCCAAUUCCCCCAAUACGAGGAAAUGUAACUCUACCCCAACACGAUGUAUUCGACGUAAGAGUCGAGGACAACAUCGUAUGAACGUGCAGUCAACGUUACUCAAAUUACAGAUUUUUUCCCAAAGAGGAGGAGAAGAUCAACGUCAGAGAUGAAGAGCACCCAGCCCAGUUCUUCCCUCUCAAUUCCCCUUGAACAAACGCCACGCAAAAACUCAAAUAAUUCGAUAAACAACGUGGACAAAUCAUACCAUUGCCUAUGUGGAAAAUUAGGCUAUCUGCCUUUUUUUGUUAUUAUUAUUGUCUGUCUUGGACAAAAAAAAGAUGGAGUAACCAUCCAAAAUAUGUUGGCCUAUGUUUAUGCCAAAGUAACAAUGUCUUGUUUUGUCUAUUUUAAAAUAUUGUUAAUUUAUUUAAUUUAAGUUUCAACUGGAUUUAAUGUGUUUAAUUCAACUAAGGUUUCUGAGAUAUUGUUUGUCUGUUGAAUUGUAUCCGUGAAAAAUACUAUUAAAACGAUUUAGUUUACAUUU